Molecule: ribosomal RNA, 301 nt
Filed under: uncultured bacterium
Lineage: Bacteria
Description: partial 16S ribosomal RNA
Rfam family: Bacterial small subunit ribosomal RNA
Source: RNAcentral
CAGCCGCCGCGGUAAUACGUAGGUGGCAAGCGUUGUCCGGAAUUAUUGGGCGUAAAGGGCUCGCAGGCGGUUUCUUAAGUCUGAUGUGAAAGCCCCCGGCUCAACCAGGGAGGGUCAUUGGAAACUGGGAAACUUGAGUGCAGAAGAGGAGAGUGGAAUUCCACGUGUAGCGGUGAAAUGCGUAGAGAUGUGGAGGAACACCAGUGGCGAAGGCGACUCUCUGGUCUGUAACUGACGCUGAGGAGCGAAAGCGUGGGGAGCGAACAGGAUUAGAUACCCCGGUAGUCCCUGUCUCUUAUAC